This 424-nucleotide ribosomal RNA is filed under the name uncultured bacterium. RNAcentral describes it as "bacterial SSU rRNA". It matches the Rfam family "Bacterial small subunit ribosomal RNA", at positions 28 to 483 of the family's 1533-position model. The record is from RNAcentral.
GAUGAAUGCUGGCGGCGUGCCUAAUACAUGCAAGUCGAGCGGCAGCGCGUCUAGUUUACUAGAUGGCGGCGAGCGGCGGACGGCUGAGUAACGCGUAGGAAUGUGCCCCAAAGUGAGGAAUAACUGCCCGAAAGGGUAGCUAAUGCCGCAUAUGGUCUUCGGAUUAAAAGGAUUUAUCCGCUUUGGGAGCAGCCUGCGUACGAUUAGAUAGUUGGUGAGGUAAUGGCUCACCAAGUCGACGAUCGUUAGCUGGUCUGAGAGGAUGAUCAGCCAGACUGGAACUGAGACACGGUCCAGACUCCUACGGGAGGCAGCAGUAAGGAAUCUUCCACAAAUGGGCAAAGCCUGAUGGAGCAAACGCCGCGUGCAGGAUGAAGGCCUGGUGUAAACUGCUUUAUGAGUAGAGAAUAUGACGGUAACUCAU